Molecule: ribosomal RNA, 525 nt
Filed under: Eimeriidae sp.
Lineage: Eukaryota; Apicomplexa; Conoidasida; Eucoccidiorida; Eimeriidae
Description: bacterial SSU rRNA
Rfam family: Eukaryotic small subunit ribosomal RNA
Source: RNAcentral
GGAGCCUGAGAAACGGCUACCACAUCUAAGGAAGGCAGCAGGCGCGCAAAUUACCCAAUGAAAACAGUUUUGAGGUAGUGACGAGAAAUAACAAUACAGAGCAUUUAAAUGUUUUGUAAUUGGAAUGGUGGGAAUCUAAACCCCUUUCAGAGUAACAAUUGGAGGGAAAGUCUGGUGCCAGCAGCCGCGGUAAUUCCAGCUCCAAUAGCGUAUAUUUGAGUUGUUGCAGUUAAAAAGCUCGUAGUUGGAUUUCUGUCUUGGCUUUUACGUGUACUACAUGUAUAUUAAUUUAUAGAUGUUUUAUAACAGCGUUUAAACUUUGACAUAUUAUCCCAAUGUGUGUAUGUGUGUGUAUAUAUAGAGAAUUAGGUUUUAARACCUUGAUUUAAUAUAUAUAUAUAUAUAUAAUCAUUGGGACUUUUACUUUGAGAAAAAUAGAGUGUUUCAAGCAGGUAUUUUUUUGCCUUGAAUACUGCAGCAUGGAAUAAUAAUAUAGGACUUUGGUUUUAUUUUGUUGGUUUCUAA